RNAcentral lists this long non-coding RNA (502 nucleotides) under Piliocolobus tephrosceles (Ugandan red Colobus). RNAcentral describes it as "lncRNA (ENSPTEG00000009019.1)". The record is from RNAcentral. Lineage: Eukaryota; Metazoa; Chordata; Mammalia; Primates; Cercopithecidae.
UCGGAGUGGAGACUCAUGAACAUAUGUACCUAUACAUAUAUUAAUCAUAUUUACACCUCAACCAUGAUGGGGCCAUUGUAGAUCAGCAGUUACAAAUACAGUUUUAAUAAUAUCAUAAAAAAAAUAAUGUAAGAAAAAAAAUUUACAAAAAUAGUAGCCAAAAAUGUACAUAUAUUUAUUAUUCCACUUCUAAAUAUGAAAAAAAUACAAAAUUUAAAGAAGAGCUAUAUAAAUACCAUUAUAAUCCAUAUAUUGAUGAUGCAAAUAUAAGACCAUAUUUAAUUUUAAAAAGUGAAGUGGAGAAAAUAACACAUGAUAAAAGAUUAAAACGAAAUGUACCAUUAGUAUAUAAAAAAAUAAAACAAAGUUUGUUAUGGAGGUCUAAAAUAAUAAAAAAACAAAACGAUUAUGAUCCUUUUAUUUUAACUAGCGAUAUAUCAGAUAAUGGUCCUACUGUAUUGGGGGAGUAUGUUACUAAUGGAGGGAAUUCCAAUACAGACAU